CUCAGUUCGGAGUUGCAGGCUGCAACUCGCCUGCAUGAAGCUGGAAUUGCUAGUAAUCGCGGAUCAGCAAGCCGCGGUGAAUACGUUCCCGGGCCUUGUACACACCGCCCGUCACACCAUGAGAGUUGGGAAUACCCGAAGCCUGUGAGCUAACUUUUAGAGGCAGCAGUCGAAGGUAGAAUCAAUGAUUGGGGUGAAGUCGUAACAAGGUAGC
RNAcentral lists this ribosomal RNA (214 nucleotides) under uncultured bacterium. RNAcentral describes it as "partial 16S ribosomal RNA". It matches the Rfam family "Bacterial small subunit ribosomal RNA", at positions 1287 to 1500 of the family's 1533-position model. The record is from RNAcentral.